CCCCUAGAUGUUCUGGGCCGCACGCGCGCUACACUGAACAGUUCAACAAGUCUUAACCUUGGCCGAUAGGUCUGGGUAAUCUUUGAACGCUGUUCGUGAUUGGGAUAGACCUUUGCAAUUAUGGGUCUUCAACGAGGAAUUCCUAGUAAACGCAAGUCAUCAGCUUGCAUUGAUUACGUCCCUGCCCUUUGUAUACACCGCCCGUCGCACCUACCGAUUGAAUGGUCCGGUGAAAUCUCGGGACGGCGGCUUGGUCGCUUGCGUCCGACUGCUGAAACUUGAUUAAACCAUAUCAUUUAGAGGAAGGUGAAGUCGUAACA
Molecule: ribosomal RNA, 320 nt
Filed under: uncultured eukaryote
Lineage: Eukaryota
Description: partial 18S ribosomal RNA
Rfam family: Eukaryotic small subunit ribosomal RNA
Source: RNAcentral